RNAcentral lists this ribosomal RNA (964 nucleotides) under uncultured organism. RNAcentral's name for it is "bacterial SSU rRNA". It matches the Rfam family "Bacterial small subunit ribosomal RNA", at positions 18 to 1004 of the family's 1533-position model. The record is from RNAcentral.
UCUGGCUCACGAUGAACGCUUAACGGCGCGCUUAAUGCAUGCAAGUCGAGCGAUGAGGCCUCUUCGGGGGGUACAUCAGCGGCAGACGGGUGAGUAACACGUAGGUGAUCUACCCCAGAGACGGGGAUAACGGGUGGAAACAUCCGCUAAUACCGGAUAGACUUGUUCGGUCAAAGGGACAAGGAAAGGCUCCGGCGCUCUGGGAGGAGCCUGCGGCCCAUCAGCUAGUUGGCGGGGUAACGGCCCACCAAGGCAAAGACGGGUAGGGGGUGUGAGAGCAUGGCCCCCCACAAUGGGACUGGAACACGGCCCAUACUCCUACGGGAGGCAGCAGCAGGGAAUAUUGCACAAUGGACGGAAGUCUGAUGCAGCGACGCCGCGUGGAUGAAGAAGGCCCUCGGGUUGUAAAAUCCUUUACAGGGGGAAGAGGAAGGACGGUACCCCUGGAACAAGUGUCGGCUAACUACGUGCCAGCAGCCGCGGUAAGACGUAGGACACAAGCGUUAUCCGGAUUUACUGGGCGUAAAGCGUCUGCAGGCGGACAGGUAAGUUGGGCGUGAAAGCUCCGGGCCCAACCCGGAGAGGUCGUUCAAUACUGCGUGUCUAGAGGGUGUCAGAGGGGAGUGGAAUUUCCGGAGUAGCGGUAAAAUGCGCAGAGAUCGGAAAGAACACCAAUGGCGAAGGCAGCUCCCUGGGGCAACCCUGACGCUAAGAGACGAAAGCUAGGGGAGCGAACAGGAUUAGAGACCCUGGUAGUCCUGGCCCUAAACGAUGGAUGCUGGAUGUGGGGCCAUAGCGCUCCGUGUCGAAGCGAACGCGUUAAGCAUCCCGCCUGGGGACUACGGCCGCAAGGUUAAAACUCAAACGAAUUGACGGGACCCCGCACAAGCAGCGGAGCGUGUGGUUUAAUUCGAUGCUACACGAAGAACCUUACCUGGGUGUGACAUCUAGGUGGUAGUGAAGC